Molecule: non-coding RNA, 760 nt
Organism: Odocoileus virginianus texanus
Lineage: Eukaryota; Metazoa; Chordata; Mammalia; Artiodactyla; Cervidae
Source: RefSeq, a predicted model, not a curated record
UGCAGCAGUGCCUUCCAAAUCUCCCUGCCAAUCUCGCCCCUUUUACCUGGAAGACUUUUUAAAAGACUGCUUCCCCAGGCCUUGCUCCAAGCUGUUUGAAUCAAAUUCCAUCUUGGUGGGGCCCAGGAAUUGACAUUUUUAAGCAACUCCCAAGCGCACAGUAGGGCAGCCCGGCACAUAACAGGGAUCCGGCGGGUGCUUGCUGAGUGCUUGAAUGAAGAAAUGAAGGUCCAUUUCCUGAUCAAGCAACACGGGUUCUGUAUGUUCUGGAGACAAAAGCAGAGGACGGGCCUGCCCAGCUUGCUCACAGCGGACACCACGGAGGAGACCUGAGCACUUCAAAGGGAAGCGAACCCCUCUCUCCUCUUUGGACCCAACGGUGACUGCGUCCAUUUAAAAACCAGCUUCGCUUUUUCCUUUGAGCACAUUCCAGAGAGCUGAGACUUUGCAGCCUCCACCUGCCCACCCAGAGCAGCCUAGCUGUGACUUCAGCCCUCCCCUCCUUGCCUUCGGGCCUUUGCACACAUCACGUCCUCCACCUGUGGUAUCCUGGGCUCCUUUGUCUAAAAAACCUACACACACUUCAGGGGCCACUUGAAACGCUACCUUCUCCGUGGUUCGCCCAGUCUCCCCAUCUCUGAUUCAUCACCACAUUACAUCUGCAUCCUCCCCACGACGGCCAUCGCCUGAUCACCUGAAUUGCUCGCUAUUUAUCUCCAUGUUUUAUCUCCUCUUUCCUUUCAUCCCACAAAUAUUUAUA